UAGGGAAUCUUCGGCAAUGGACGAAAGUCUGACCGAGCAACGCCGCGUGAGUGAAGAAGGUUUUCGGGUCGUAAAACUCUGUUGUUAGAGAAGAACAAGGACGUUAGUAACUGAACGUCCCCUGACGGUAUCUAACCAGAAAGCCAAGGCUAACUACGUGCCAGCAGCCGCGGUAAUACGUAGGUGGCAAGCGUUGUCCGGAUUUAUUGGGCGUAAAGCGAGCGCAGGCGGUUUCUUAAGUCUGAUGUGAAAGCCCCCGGCUCAACCGGGGAGGGUCAUUGGAAACUGGGAGACUUGAGUGCAGAAGAGGAGAGUGGAAUUCCAUGUGUAGCGGUGAAAUGCGUAGAUAUAUGGAGGAACACCAGUGGCGAAGGCGGCUCUCUGGUCUGUAACUGACGAUGAGGCUCGAAAGCGUGGGGAGCAAACAGG
This 429-nucleotide ribosomal RNA is filed under the name Gemmatimonadota bacterium. RNAcentral describes it as "Gemmatimonadetes bacterium partial 16S ribosomal RNA". It matches the Rfam family "Bacterial small subunit ribosomal RNA", at positions 355 to 776 of the family's 1533-position model. Lineage: Bacteria; Pseudomonadati; Gemmatimonadota. The record is from RNAcentral.